Small nucleolar RNA from Arabidopsis thaliana (thale cress), 168 nucleotides. It matches the Rfam family "small nucleolar RNA snoR143". The record is from Rfam. Lineage: Eukaryota; Viridiplantae; Streptophyta; Magnoliopsida; Brassicales; Brassicaceae.
UUGCACCUUGUAUCGAAGGACAUGCCUCGUUCUGAUGGCAUGGCCAUUUUCGAGGAUGCGUAAAGGAAUAGCUGUUAAUUCAGUAAGCGGCCAGACAACCGUUGGGAUAGAUCCACAGUUGUUGCGGUUUUUCUCUCCGCUCUCAACUACUAAAUCUUUCCCACAUUU